UGAUCCGCAAUUGACAUCCAUCCCUGCAGUUAAUUGUUAAACAAUGCUCUAAGACUCUGGGUAAAUGAAAAGUUGCUCAGUUCAACGAAUUUCCCAUGUAAAAGGUAUUAUGGACUCUGCAUACAUCUUCUAAUCCAUCUAAUUAAAAUGAAAAAGCGCUUCUUAAUGAUUUGCAAGUUGCAACUAUUCAACUCACAGAGUGAUAGCAGUGUAAUUUUGGCUUAGUUACCUCUUCUCCGCUGCCAAAUCCAAGGCUCAAAUGCUGCACAUCAAAGUCCUUCGAUGUGUAUACUUCAUACAUAAUUACUGACGGUAAGUCCAAUUGAAUUACAAAUAUCCGACUCAUUGUAAAUCUCUUAAAGGAUAAAGAUAAUAAGAGUCUGCUAAGAACCAUGUUUUUCUACUAUAAAUAGGAUCAACAACCAAGUAAGCAGAUUAUCGUGAAUUAUAUUCACAUGGAAUUGCUGACUUAUGACUUGGUCAUCCAAGUGGACCCUUAGCUUAGCUUGAGAAUUGGGUACUUAACGCACUAAGAACUUGUUUAGUUCUCUCAUAGCACAAUGCUCCAUACCCACAUCCACAUAAUAUUCUCUUACGGCCUUUAGCAUAGCAAGUGGGAAAUAAAAUGGUUUGAGAAUGUCACAUCAUUUUGCCGGCACAUAUAAUUGAUCCGUUUGUGGAAUCUUUAUUAUCAACAUAAACUUCAUGGUGAUGCAAUAACAUAGACUUUAUGUCACUUCAACUUUUAGUAUAUUUAGUGCUUAUUCAUAGAAACUAAACAUUUUACUCAAGCAAGGGAAAAAAGUUGAGACUUUUGCUGAGUGUUCCAACCAACUCAAAAUAAUUGAUCCUUGUUCAUGCAAAGUUAUGAGAUGUUCAUUUAUCUAAUGGAGGCUCAACUCAGCAUACACGUGACAAUAGGGGAGUCUAAGCCUGCUAAAUGUUGAUUCACACCCAAACUUUAUCUUUUCCAUAGGAGACCAGAAGAAAAAAGGGACCGGUUACAGUCAGGUAUACCGCCUAGGUAGCAUCACGCUUUGCAUUAAUGACUACAACCUUCGUCAUGACUCAUGAGUCCAGCUACUCGUAUACCCUUGAGCGCCUAACUACAUUUAGAGUUAUUCUAUUACACAGAAAAAGGCAAAAGGGCAAAUUAUAAUAGAAAAAAACAUUAAAGUUGAGAAGAAACGUCAGUCCAAUCAACGAGCUGUUAUGAUAAGUGUAUGGACUAAUUGCUCAUUACCGAAGACUUUCGGUGACGCCCAUGGGAUGUUUGUGAUGUGUGGACCCAUAAGAUAAUAUGAGUCCAAAAUCUCAAUUCAUUAAUAAGAGAUAAUGAGGAUAACUAGAAGGACAAAUGACGCAUAAUCUGCCAGCCUAUGAUAAAAACAGAAGCACAUGUCGUCUUUAUGAUAUUAUACAAUAAAAAGCAAGUGAUAGGUCCCAUACCAGCUUUAAGUACAUCAACCACA
Molecule: unclassified non-coding RNA, 1472 nt
Filed under: Hevea brasiliensis (rubber tree)
Lineage: Eukaryota; Viridiplantae; Streptophyta; Magnoliopsida; Malpighiales; Euphorbiaceae
Source: RNAcentral